RNAcentral lists this transfer RNA (65 nucleotides) under Ixodes scapularis (black-legged tick). RNAcentral's name for it is "tRNA-Leu". The record is from RNAcentral. Lineage: Eukaryota; Metazoa; Arthropoda; Arachnida; Ixodida; Ixodidae.
AUUAAAGUGGCAGAAAGUUUAAUGCAAGGAAUUUAAGCUUCCUUUAUGAUAAAAAUCCUUUAAUA